GAUGAACGCUGGCGGCGUGCCUAAUACAUGCAAGUCGAGCGAACAGACGAGGAGCUUGCUCCUCUGACGUUAGCGGCGGACGGGUGAGUAACACGUGGAUAACCUACCUAUAAGACUGGGAUAACUUCGGGAAACCGGAGCUAAUACCGGAUAAUAUAUUGAACCGCAUGGUUCAAUAGUGAAAGACGGUUUUGCUGUCACUUAUAGAUGGAUCCGCGCCGCAUUAGCUAGUUGGUAAGGUAACGGCUUCCAAGGCGACGAUGCGUAGCCGACCUGAGAGGGUGAUCGGCCACACUGGAACUGAGACACGGUCCAGACUCCUACGGGAGGCAGCAGUAGGGAAUCUUCCGCAAUGGGCGAAAGCCUGACGGAGCAACGCCGCGUGAGUGAUGAAGGUCUUCGGAUCGUAAAACUCUGUUAUUAGGGAAGAACAAAUGUGUAAGUAACUAUGCACGUCUUGACGGUACCUAAUCAGAAAGCCACGGCUAACUACGUG
RNAcentral lists this ribosomal RNA (496 nucleotides) under uncultured bacterium. RNAcentral describes it as "partial 16S ribosomal RNA". It matches the Rfam family "Bacterial small subunit ribosomal RNA", at positions 28 to 507 of the family's 1533-position model. The record is from RNAcentral.